UACGAGGGGUGCAAGCGUUGCUCGGAAUUAUUGGGCGUAAAGGGUAGGUAGGUGGUCUCAUUUGUCAGGGGUGAAAUCCUUGGGCUUAACUCAAGAAGUGCCCCUGAAACGGUGAGACUCGAGUCCUGGAGAGGUGAGUGGAAUUCCCGGUGUAGCGGUGAAAUGCGUAGAGAUCGGGAGGAACACCAGAGGCGAAGGCGGCUCACUGGACAGGUACUGACACUCAACUACGAAAGCGUGGGGAGCAAACAGG
Molecule: ribosomal RNA, 253 nt
Filed under: uncultured bacterium
Lineage: Bacteria
Description: partial 16S ribosomal RNA
Rfam family: Bacterial small subunit ribosomal RNA
Source: RNAcentral